Molecule: transfer RNA, 73 nt
Filed under: Ailuropoda melanoleuca (giant panda)
Lineage: Eukaryota; Metazoa; Chordata; Mammalia; Carnivora; Ursidae
Rfam family: tRNA
About the family: Transfer RNA (tRNA) molecules are approximately 80 nucleotides in length. Their secondary structure includes four short double-helical elements and three loops (D, anti-codon, and T loops).
Source: Rfam by way of RNAcentral
GCCUGGUUGGCUCAGCUGGUAGAGCAUGUGACUCUUAAUCUCUGGGUUGUGAGUUUGAGCCCCACGUUGGGUG